CAGUCUAACUGUGGUAGGAACGUGUGAUGCACUUGGAUAUCCAAUUUUGAGUGCCAGCACGGGUAGUGCCGCUAUAUAGUACAAUGCUUCUUUCCCUUUUCCAUCGUCCUACCUUAUUUGUUUCUCUUUGUUUUUCUCUUUUUAUUUAGUAUAUAUCUCUUUUUCUUAGUACUAGAUCUUUUCUCCUUCAUUUCCUUCUGUUCACAUGCCAUCGUAUCUUCUUUUAUACUCCUUUGUGUUUUUCUCUUUCUUUUCUCCUUUUCUCCACAUUCAUUGUACCCUUCUUGCUCCUGGCCCUACUAUAUAUUGUGAAUAACGGCGGAUAAACGACGAAGAAUACAAGAUCAAAACACAGCGGAAACACAAGAUUUAACGUGGAAAACCCCUUCAAUGCGAAGGGGAAAAAACCACAGGCGUCAACCAGCAAACACUCCUCACUAUUAUCAAGAAUUGGGUUACAACGCUGUGCGGCGGCUUACAAGAUCAUCUAUUCGGUGGAACCU
This 503-nucleotide long non-coding RNA is filed under the name Sorghum bicolor (sorghum). Its description in RNAcentral is "long non-coding RNA (SBIC_LNC011451)". Lineage: Eukaryota; Viridiplantae; Streptophyta; Magnoliopsida; Poales; Poaceae. The record is from RNAcentral.